GUGCUUUUGGAGCGGCGAUGCCUGAUUGGCUAGUUGGUGAGGUAAAGGCUCACCAAGGCGUCGAUCAGUAGCUGGUCUGAGAGGACGACCAGCCACACUGGGACUGAGACACGGCCCAGACUCCUACGGGAGGCAGCAGUGGGGAAUUUUGGACAAUGGGGGAAACCCUGAUCCAGCCAUGCCGCGUGAGUGAAGAAGGCCUUCGGGUUGUAAAGCUCUUUCAGCCGGAACGAAACGGUCACGGCCAAUACCCGUGACUACUGACGGUACCGGAAGAAGAAGCACCGGCUAACUACGUGCCAGCAGCCGCGGUAAUACGUAGGGUGCAAGCGUUAAUCGGAAUUACUGGGCGUAAAGCGUGCGCAGGUGGUUUAUGUAAGUCAGAUGUGAAAUCC
RNAcentral lists this ribosomal RNA (395 nucleotides) under uncultured ammonia-oxidizing bacterium. RNAcentral describes it as "bacterial SSU rRNA". It matches the Rfam family "Bacterial small subunit ribosomal RNA", at positions 215 to 602 of the family's 1533-position model. The record is from RNAcentral.